This 492-nucleotide ribosomal RNA is filed under the name uncultured bacterium. RNAcentral describes it as "partial 16S ribosomal RNA". It matches the Rfam family "Bacterial small subunit ribosomal RNA", at positions 29 to 507 of the family's 1533-position model. The record is from RNAcentral.
AGUGAACGCUGGCGGUAGGCCUAACACAUGCAAGUCGAACGGCAGCACAGUAAGAGCUUGCUCUUACGGGUGGCGAGUGGCGGACGGGUGAGGAAUACAUCGGAAUCUACUUUUUCGUGGGGGAUAACGUAGGGAAACUUACGCUAAUACCACAUACGACCUACGGGUGAAAGCAGGGGAUCUUCGGACCUUGCGCGAUUGAAUGAGCCGAUGUCGGAUUAGCUAGUUGGCGGGGUAAAGGCCCACCAAGGCGACGAUCCGUAGCUGGUCUGAGAGGAUGAUCAGCCACAAUGGAACUGAGACACGGUCCAGACUCCUACGGGAGGCAGCAGUGGGGAAUAUUGGACAAUGGGCGCAAGCCUGAUCCAGCCAUACCGCGUGGGUGAAGAAGGCCUUCGGGUUGUAAAGCCCUUUUGUUGGGAAAGAAAAGCAGCAGGUUAAUACCCCGCUGUUCUGACGGUACCCAAAGAAUAAGCACCGGCUAACUUCGUG